UACGUAGGGUGCGAGCGUUGUCCGGAUUUAUUGGGCGUAAGGGCUCGUAGGCGGCGUGUCGCGUCGGGGAGUGAAAGCCCGCUGCUUAACGGCGGGUUGGCUUCCGGUACGGGCAUCGCUGGAGUGCGGCAGGGGAGACUGGAAUUCCUGGUGUAGCGGUGGAAUGCGCAGAUAUCAGGAGGAACACCGUGGCGAAGGCGGGUCUCUGGGCCGUUACUGACGCUGAGGAGCGAAAGCGUGGGGAGCGAACAGG
RNAcentral lists this ribosomal RNA (253 nucleotides) under uncultured bacterium. Its description in RNAcentral is "partial 16S ribosomal RNA". It matches the Rfam family "Bacterial small subunit ribosomal RNA", at positions 524 to 776 of the family's 1533-position model. The record is from RNAcentral.